This is an RNA transcript of Solanum dulcamara, 2056 nucleotides long. It is a transcript of the gene named linamarin synthase 1-like, with no coding region annotated. The record is from RefSeq and is a predicted model, not a curated record. The transcript is spliced from 6 exons. Lineage: Eukaryota; Viridiplantae; Streptophyta; Magnoliopsida; Solanales; Solanaceae.
AUGGCAUUCAUGGGAUACAUAGUGUCCAAGAAGGGUAUCAUAGUAGAUCCGAUGAAGAUUGAGGCUAUUCAUGGUUGGGAUAGGCCCACAUCUGUUAUAGAGAUUCGGAGCUUCAUCAGAUUGGCUGGUUAUUACAGGCGCUUCAUCAAGUGUUUCUCCACCAUUAGAGCCCCAUUAGCUUAUUUGACCCAUCAGGAUGUUCCUUUUGUAUGGUCUGAUAGUUACAUUACAGAUGAGUCCCACAUGUUUUGGUAUGAUUCUGUUGAGAUGGAUGAUCGUCUGACCUUUGUUAAGGAGCUGGUUGCUAUAUUAGCUAGAGAUAUUCGCUAUCUUUGUUCCAAGUCCAUACAUGUGGUUAAGGACCGAGCACCAAUUACCAUCGCAUAUAGAUCGAGUCUAUUGGAGCCAGUUCUAGAGACCAGGUUUCGGGUUAUGGGUUUGGCUUACCUAUCAGAGAGUUAUGAAUGGACUCAAUCGACAAUUUUAGUCAACAAGUCACAACUGAAAAGAAACAGUAACCUUUACUACACAUGGACAGGAAGACUGUGUAUACCAUUUCUCGCGCAAGGUCAUGUAAUACCCUCCAUGAAAUUAGCCAAGAUUUUGCACUCAAGAGGCUUCUAUAUAACAUUUGUCAACACUAAAUAUAACCAUAAACGCCUAAUCCGAUCCCAAGGACCGGACUUUGUGAAAGGCUUCCAGGAUUUCCAAUUUGAAACUAUCCCAGAAGGAUUGCCACCAUCAGAUCGCGAUGUAACUCAAGAUCCUGCUUCGUUAUGUGACUCUAUCAGGAAGAACUGCUUGACUCCUUUUAGGGAUUUACUAUCAAAGCUUGUUUCAUCACCGGUCGUACUACCAAUUUCUUGUAUAGUAUCAGAUGGGAUAAUGAGCUUUGCAAUUAAGGCUGCACAAGAAUUUGGAAUCCGUGAUGUACAAUUUUGGACAGCCUCAGCUUGUGGUUAUAUGGGAUGCCUUCAAUUUGAUGAACUAAGAAGAAGAGGGAUCAUCCCAUUUAAAGAUGACAGUUUUAUGGAGGAUGGUACGCUGGAUACAAUUGUCGAUGGGAUUCCAGGAAUGAGAAACAUUAGGUUGAAGGACUUGCCAAGCUUUAUUAUGACUACGGAUCCAAAUGAUAUUAUGCUAAACUAUUUAAGUGAUGAAGCACAAAAUUGCUUGAAAUCAUCUGCAAUGAUCAUCAACACAUUCACUGAAUUGGAACGUGAAGUCCUGGAAGCGAUUGAAGCUAGAUUCCCAAAUAUUUAUGUUACAGGUCCACUUUCAUUGAUGGAAAAAACCAUCCCAGAAAACAAAUUGAUCUCAUUUAGGCCAAGUUUAUGGAAAGAAGAAUUUCAGUGUCUUGAGUGGUUGAAUAAACAGAAACCAAGCUCGGUAAUCUACGUGAAUUAUGGAUGUGUGACUUUAAGGUCAGACCAUCACCUGAACGAAUUUGCGUGGGGACUUGCAAAUAGCAAGCACCCAUUCUUGUGGAUCGUUAGGCCUGACAUAGUGAUGGGGGAUUCAGCAGUGUUGCCUGAUGAGUUUCUUGAAGAGAUUAAAGACGGGGUUAUUAGCAAGCUAGUGUCCACAAGAUCAAGUUCUUUCCCACCCGUCUAUUGGUGUUUUUCUAACACAUUGUGGAUGGAACUCUAUGAUUGAAAGCAUAGGUUCAGGGGUUCCUCUAAUUUGCUGGCCAUUCUUUGCUGAGAAACAAACAAAUUGUCGAUAUGCUUGUGCAGAGUGGGGAAUAGGUGUUGAGGUCAAUCAAGAUAUCAAGCGUCAAGAAAUCGAACUAGUUAUUAAAGAUAUGUUAGAAGGUAAAAAAGGUAAGGAGUUAAAAGACAAAACGUUGGAGUGGAAGAAGAGAGCAGUAGAGGCAACUGAUAUUGGAGGGCCUUCAUGGAAAUACUUUGAUACAUUCUAGGAAAAACUUCUUAAAUAAACAAUUUCUAAGCAAGAGAAAAAUCUAAUAAGCAAUAGUUAGCUAAUCUUGUUUUCUUUAAAUAAGUUGUCUUAACUGAAUCACAGAAAUAAUAUGGAGCUGAAUGUUUAUCCCUUU